UAAUGGCAAACGCAAGACAAAGACUGGAGGCUCUGAGCUUCAAUAAAAACCUUUUUCGAAUCGCUGCUCUGCUGUUUCUAGUUCACAUCGGACAGUCACUGGAUUCUGGAGAUUAUCUGCUUCGGAAACAGUUUGUGGAAAGCUGGAAUAAUGUACAAAAAUUGAUCACACACCUGACAGAAGUCCAAAGUGGCACUGAAUUUAUCUUAACACUUUUGGAUGAAGCAAAUCCUCUGGAAACCAAGAAGCAUCUUGAAAUAUUUCAGCAAUAUCUUCAAGCAACUGUAGAUGAAGCACACAGACAGAAGGUCGAAAAAUCAUCUUAUUUUACUUUGGAGAUGCAAAAUCUUCGUAAGAUCCUGGAUGAUCCUGAAUGGCAACAAAAGUCAGCAUUGUCUCAUUCAUUGGUGAGAAAGUUAAGAAAAGCCAUAGAGCAACGCCUUGAAGUAUAUAGGAUUUAUUUAAAGUUAAAGAGAGACGUCUUCAAUAGAGAUUUAGAGGAGGUUGAAGGAGAACUGACAUAUACUUUGAAUAAAAUCAAAUUCUGGAAGAUAAUUCCCUAUCUUUCUGAAAUUAUACCAAUCUUUUUUUUUUGUGCAUUAGCACUUUAUUGGAUAUGUUCCUGCAUCUGUUCUUGUAUAUUUUCAUACUUAUAAAUUGUUUAACAAUGACCUGACAUUUUGUACCUGCUGAAAAGUUUAGCUCUUUUUGAACUUUGCAUGAUUUAGGUUUGGGGGCAACAGGAGACGGUUGUGUUUGUGUCAGUUAAACCUUCUUUAUGUUUAUAACUUUAAUCACUGAAGGAUCAUUAAACUACAUUUUCAUGUUUCCUGGGAGAGGUCAUUUUGCUAUUUUG
Molecule: long non-coding RNA, 856 nt
Organism: Xiphophorus hellerii (green swordtail)
Lineage: Eukaryota; Metazoa; Chordata; Actinopteri; Cyprinodontiformes; Poeciliidae
Exons: 5
Source: RefSeq, a predicted model, not a curated record